RNAcentral lists this ribosomal RNA (548 nucleotides) under Caliphaea confusa. Its description in RNAcentral is "SSU rRNA". It matches the Rfam family "Eukaryotic small subunit ribosomal RNA", at positions 628 to 1151 of the family's 1831-position model. The record is from RNAcentral. Lineage: Eukaryota; Metazoa; Arthropoda; Insecta; Odonata; Calopterygidae.
UCGUAGUCGGAGGUGUGUCUCGGACGGUCGGUUCGCCGCUUGUCGGUGCUCAACUGGCCGGUCCGGACGUCCUGCCGGUGGGGCCGCGAGGCUCCGUUAUCCUUCUUUGGUCCUCUUCACCGAGUGCCUUGGUGGGCCGGCACGUUUACUUUGAACAAAUUAGAGUGCUCAAAGCAGGCCGUUGGUCGCCUGAAUACUGUGUGCAUGGAAUAAUGGAAUAGGACCUCGGUUCCAUUUUGUUGGUUUUCAGAACUCGAGGUAAUGAUUAAUAGGGACGGACGGGGGCAUUCGUAUUGCGACGUUAGAGGUGAAAUUCUUGGAUCGUCGCAAGACGAACCGAUGCGAAAGCAUUUGCCAAGAACGUUUUCGUUGAUCAAGAACGAAAGUUAGAGGUUCGAAGGCGAUCAGAUACCGCCCUAGUUCUAACCAUAAACGAUGCCAGCUAGCCAUCCGCCGAAGUUCCUUCUAUGACUCGGCGGGCAGCUUCCGGGAAACCAAAGCUCUUGGGUUCCGGGAGAAGUAUGGUUGCAAAGCUCAAACUUAAAGGA